RNAcentral lists this non-coding RNA (23 nucleotides) under Arabidopsis thaliana (thale cress). The record is from RNAcentral. Lineage: Eukaryota; Viridiplantae; Streptophyta; Magnoliopsida; Brassicales; Brassicaceae.
CCUCCGGCGCUGUUACUUUGAAG